GAUGAACGCUGGCGGCGUGCCUAACACAUGCAAGUCGAGCGAACAGACGAUGAGCUCGCGCUCCUGCCGUUAGCGACGGGCGGGUGAGUAACACGUGCAUCACCCUCCUCUUAGACUUGGAUAACUUCGGGAGACCGCAGCCACUACUAGCUAAUAUAUUGAACCGCAUGGUUCAAUAGUUAAUGCCGCCUUGGCCGACACUUUUAGCUGGAUCCGGGCUGGAUUAGCUAGUUGGUAAGGUAACGGCUUACCAAGGCAACGAUGCGUAGCCGACCUGAGAGGGUGAUCGGCCACACUGGAACUGAGACACGGUCCAGACUCCUACGGGAGGCAGCAGUGGGGAAUCUUGGGCAAUGGGCGGAAGCCUGACGGAGCAACGCCGCGUGGGUGAAGAAGGUCUUCGGGUCGUAAAACUCUGUUGUUGGGGAAGAACAGAUGUGUGAGUAACUAUGGAUGUUUUGACGGUACCUAAACAGAAAGCCACGGCUAACUACGUG
This 497-nucleotide ribosomal RNA is filed under the name uncultured bacterium. RNAcentral describes it as "partial 16S ribosomal RNA". It matches the Rfam family "Bacterial small subunit ribosomal RNA", at positions 28 to 507 of the family's 1533-position model. The record is from RNAcentral.